RNAcentral lists this ribosomal RNA (765 nucleotides) under Erythrodontium julaceum. RNAcentral describes it as "eukaryotic LSU rRNA". The stretch from base 342 to 494 matches the Rfam family "5.8S ribosomal RNA". The record is from RNAcentral. Lineage: Eukaryota; Viridiplantae; Streptophyta; Bryopsida; Hypnales; Entodontaceae.
ANACCAGGGUUUUUUUCCCGGUAAGGGUGAAACCUUGNGGAAAGGAAUUCAAUUUGCCACACACGAGUUGCAAGCCCAACCCCGCGGCGAAACGAAACACAUUGUCCCCUUUGGGCGGGUCGGGGCGUCUCGAGGAGUCGGGGCCGGCCACCUCCCUUCGUCAAAAGCGAAGCGAGCUCGCUUGUUCGCGGCGUGGGGUUUCCACCCACGAUGCGUCCACCUUGACCGAGUGACUGAGUCCCGAAUCGACUCCAGAGGAGCGAGUUCCGCCCCCUCGGCUUGGCUGAGGGGUCGGCGCUGGUUAUCCCUUGCGAGUGGAAGGAAUGGAAGAACACCGAAACAACUCUCAGCAACGGAUAUCUUGGCUCUUGCAACGAUGAAGAACGCAGCGAAAUGCGAUACGUAGUGUGAAUUGCAGAAUUCCGCGAAUCAUCGAGUCUUUGAACGCAAGUUGCGCCCGAGGCUUGUCCAAGGGCAUUUCCGCUAGAGCGUCACCGCGCCCCCCCCCACCGAUCCGUUCCCUCCGGGAGUCGGGUCGAGUGAAAGUGGCCAUCCCCGUGGGGGCCUCCUCCCGCGAGGAAGGGAGGUCUUCCCGAGGGUUGGCUGAAAUGGAUGGAAUCGGGCCGCCGUGGCGACACAGUCCGCGAUCGGGUGAUCCGGGCUCCCCCGGGAGUCCGGGAUUUUUCUAAGUGCGUGGCUGCGUCUCCCAGUCGGUCGUGGUUUCCUCGUGCAGGUCAGACCUCGUCACGCAUCAGUCACAAGGUU